GAUGAACGCUGGCGGCGUGCUUAACACAUGCAAGUCGAACGAAGUCUUCGGACUUAGUGGCGGACGGGUGAGUAACGCGUGAGGACCUACCCUAAGGACGGGGACAACAGUUGGAAACGACUGCUAAUACCCCAUAUGCCGAGAGGUGAAAUGAAUUUCGCCUGAGGAUGAGCUCGCGUCUGAUUAGCUAGUUGGUGUGGUAAAGGCUCACCAAGGCAUCGAUCAGUAGCUGGUCUGAGAGGAUGAUCAGCCACACUGGGACUGAGACACGGCCCAGACUCCUACGGGAGGCAGCAGUGGGGAAUUUUCCGCAAUGGGCGCAAGCCUGACGGAGCAACGCCGCGUGAGGGAUGAAGGCCUCUGGGCUGUAAACCUCUUUUAUC
Molecule: ribosomal RNA, 383 nt
Filed under: uncultured cyanobacterium
Lineage: Bacteria; Bacillati; Cyanobacteriota
Description: bacterial SSU rRNA
Rfam family: Bacterial small subunit ribosomal RNA
Source: RNAcentral